GUGGGUCAUUUGAGUAAAAAAGCCUUGUGCUUCUAUCUGUUUUCUCGGGAAAAUCUUGCCCUAGCGUUUUCGCUAUGAGAUUUCACAGAGGAGGAACAGAGAUGAAGAUUGCUAUCGAAGGUAGUAUGUAUAUGUACGGCUAGCUUGACAGUGUGUGUAUAAGUCGAUUCAGUAUCACUAAUGAGUUCACAACGCCCAAAUCGAUCUUCUCUGCUGCGGCCAUUUCCAGGUAACCGUACAGAUUUCGAUCUUCCGAGAAAAUCUAUUCGAUCGUGUUUCUUUGGUUUUGAAAAGCGGUUUGCUUUCUUUUCAAACUGGUGGAAAAUUACCCAGAGAGAGAAACGAGAUAUACACGAAAUCGGGUCAAGAAGCAGAGAUACCAAACGGAUGGAAUCCGAUCCAGUUUUUUUCUUCAUGAACCAAUCGUUUAUGGUUGGGUUAAACAACACAUUCUUCUUCUGAAAUUAAAGAAUCCAUUCCCAAAUGCUUCUGGAGUGUAUUCAGUAGACAAAUCCAAAUGGUUAGGUUGAGUUUGUGGAUCGAGAAGCAAAAUCCUUUCCCUCCUCUACAGAUUGGUAAGGAUUGAGGGGUGGACUCGCGGAAGCAAAUCCGCGUCUAUAUCGCCAGUGAAUCCGAAGGCUCGGUACGAGUUUUCUGCUCAUCCGUGCCCGUGGUUUGCUGCUUCUGUUCAACCGCGGAGAAGAUGGAUCUGUGACGGGAGUCUCUUGCCCUCGAUAAAAGCCUCUAGGGGCAAAAGGUUUUUGCAACAGCCACUUGUUCCUGCAUCUUCUGUGGUUCGGCAUGAUGAGAGACUGGUUAGGCUAUCACGAGCAAGUUCAAUCCUGUUUUUCCCGUCGAGUCUACUUUGAUGAUCUUACUUAUUUCCUCGGUAGCUAUCAUCGAUCUUUUGUACCGAGUUGACAUGGUUGAGGUAAAACCGAUCAGGGCUCGGCUUCAACCACAUGGUCCGCACUUAGCUCAGGCGAUCCACUAACCGAUGGUUCAGGCUAUAAGAUCGUCUCUCUCGAUACAUGAAUGAUCCCUGCUGUUGAUCAUUGGCAGAUUGUUGAGAGAAUGCUUUAAUACCUAGGAGGCACCCGGCAUAAAGGUUUCUUUUCUCUCCGCUCGUAAUCCCCCGUCUCUCUACAUGUCUCGGGUGAGGGUGAUCGGGAUGACCUCUUCUCCACCGGUACACACAUUGUCUAUAAUGGUAAACACCACAUUCCUCGUCUUCCGAAGAAAGAGCAGAAGCGACUCGCACCACGGUCUUCCACAGAAUCCGAGUACCGAUCGUCACCUUAGGUCUCGCGCUCACCGAACCACUAUGGCGAGCUCAGUUACAUAUCUUGGAUUCUUGAGGGUGUAUAAAAGUGUAAAGGGAUGAUUGUCUUUAUAUUAAUAUUUUUAAUCUAUAAUUUCUAUUUUAUUUUCUCUAUAAAUUAUUUUUUUACUAUUCUGUAAUGUAUAAAAUACACGAGAACCCAAUUUCAUUGUA
Long non-coding RNA from Tarenaya hassleriana, 1495 nucleotides. RefSeq lists it as uncharacterized. The record is from RefSeq and is a predicted model, not a curated record. Lineage: Eukaryota; Viridiplantae; Streptophyta; Magnoliopsida; Brassicales; Cleomaceae. The transcript is spliced from 4 exons.